Molecule: RNA transcript, 2819 nt
Organism: Papaver somniferum (opium poppy)
Lineage: Eukaryota; Viridiplantae; Streptophyta; Magnoliopsida; Ranunculales; Papaveraceae
Gene name: probable folate-biopterin transporter 2
Exons: 7
Source: RefSeq, a predicted model, not a curated record
CAAAGCUGAGUCAGUGCAGUCUUGCAAGAGUUAUACCAACCUGUUCAUAAGAUUAUGUUCAUCAGUAAGGUUAGUCUGAACCCUGAGCUCGUGUGAGAAAGCUGGUGGGAAACUGUUAACUUUUUCCUCGUACAGUCUCAAACUUAACUUUUUCCUCUCAUGAGAAGAAAGAAAUAUCUCCCGUCUCUAUGAAACUCGGGUAGAAUUUUUCUUUUCUUAUUUGAUGGAGUUUCUUACAAAUUUUUUUAAGCUAAAUCUUUUCCAGUCUAUUGUAUUUGGUUUGGUAGGUUCUGAAUUGGGCGUUGGGUUUUAUUCUCAUUGUAUUUGGAUUGGUAGGUUUGAGUUGUGAAAAGGUUAGAGGGAAAUGGAAAGAGUCUAUCCAUUCUGCGACAUCCAAUAAUCAACUGAUUGAUGUCCGAGAAAAUUAGCAUUUCCGAUCCCAACUUCUUUUAUCUUGUACUGCCUCCGCUAAAAAAUGGUUCUGCCUAUUUUUUGGGGUAGUAUGCAUUACCUGAAUUCGAAAGACGAUGUUGUUAGCAGGCAUACUCAUCGAAAUCAUCAGUCAUGUUUUGCGUCUACAAAAUCCGAUUUUACUAUGCAAUAGGAUACUUCUGUGCAAGAAGAGUAAGGAAUGGUUAACGUGGGACCCCCAUGUUACCUGGUAGGAACAACCAGAUCUCAUUCGAAGACUUUGCACAUUUAGUUGGUCAACUCGUCGAGCCUACUCCCUUUCUCUUCUACUCAUCUCGGUUUCAAACUACCGUCGGUUACUGUACGAAGACACAACAUUUUUCAAUAACUGAAGAAAACCUGUUCUGAUUCUUCUUUCUAUCAACUCCAACCAAAUUUGGCAUUUAUACACACCCGUUACUGUAAAACUGUUGAUCUUUCGAUUUCAGAUUUCCUUUUGUAAAUUAUUGUUUUUUAAUGGUGGAAGAAGAAGAAGCUCUCCCACUUGAUGGAAAUGCUCAUAACAAGGAAAUUAGAGAAACACAAAAAGAGAGAGGAAUAAAAACAAGGUUAUGGGAUUUUAUGUUGGAACCUCUUUAUUGGUUUAAAAUGCUUGCUCAUGAACUGCAUUGGCGUUUUAUUUUUGGUGUUGUUAUUAUCUAUGGAAUGAGUCAGGGUUUAGGUGGAAGUUUGUUUAAUGUUAGUUCUGAUUAUUACUGGAAAGAUGUCCAGAAAGUUCAGCCAUCUGAAGCACAAGUUUAUUCUGGAGUUAUUGGUAUUCCCUGGAUUGUUAAACCACUUUGGGGUAUUCUCACUGAUGUCGUUCCAAUUGCUGGAUAUCGAAGACGACCCUACUUCAUUUUAGCUGGUCUUCUUGGUGUGGCCUCCACACUCCUAUUGUCACUCAAGAAAAAGGUGGAUGUGAUGUUUGCAUUGCUAUCUAUGACGGCAGUGAGUGCUGGCGCAGCCAUAGCAGAUGUAACAAUAGAUGCCUGUGCAGCAGAGAAUAGUAUGGCGCACCUUUCCCUCGCAGCGGACAUACAAAGCUUAUGUGCAUUUUGCUCUUCCAUUGGACAGCUUGUCGGAUUCACGAUUAGUGGAUUUAUUGUUCAUCAAAUUGGCCCUAAGGGAGUGUUUGGAGUGCUGAGCAUUCCUUUUGUUCUGGUUUCUUCGGUUGGAAUUCUGCUCAAAGAACAGUAUGUUCCCAAUUUCGCCUACAAACAGGUAUACCAGAAAUUCAUCGACGCCAGUAAAGCUACUUUUACAACAUUAAAAUGCGGGGAUGUGUGGAGACCAUGUCUUUAUAUGUACUUAUCUUUUGCACUAAGCUUGAACAUCCAUGAAGGAAUGUUCUAUUGGAUUACAGACCCGAAAGCUGGACCGGCGUUGUCGGAGGAAAGUGUUGGAUUAAUGUUUUCGUUUGGCUCAAUAGGUUCCCUUCUUGGUUUGUUACUAUACCAGAAAGUUCUCAAGGAUUACCCAUAUCGUGGUGUACUUUUUUGGGCUCAAUUGCUUCAUGGUAUCAUUGGAAUGCUGGAUUUGAUAUUGGUAUUGCGGUUGAACUUGAAACUGGGUGUGCCAGAUAAAUACUUUGUUGUGUUGGACGAAAUUGUAUCUAAAUGUACUGGCCGUAUAAAACGAAUGCCUCUUCUUGUGAUAAGUUCCAAGCUAUGCCCCCCCGGUAUCGAAGGCACUUUCUUUGCUUUGCUGAUGUCUAUCGACAAUUUUGGUUCCCUCACAUCAUCAUGGGGAGGAGGACUCCUACUUCAUGUCUUAAAUGUUACCCGGUCGAAGUUUACUAACUUGUGGCUUGCAAUCUUAGUACGCAACAUAGUAAGAUUACUUCCAUUGGCUCUGCUAUUUUUGGUGCCCAGAAGUGAUCCCUCCUCGUCAAUUCUACCAGCCAAAAUUACCAAAGCAAAAGAAGAUGAAGACGUUGACAAAGCUGGCAAUAUUGAACUUGUUUCCUUGAUAGGCAGCACGCGGUGAACCGAGAGUAGAAACCUGCAGUUGGCAUGUAUGGUUCAGCGAACAUACCAUUUGGGGAGACGGAAACCGCGUGGUUCUCUUUGUAUUAAGAAAUGCCAAUCUCAUUCUCAGUUGCUAUAAAGAAGAUCUUGUGUAUUCAGGGUUCGCGCAGACGUAUAUUGGUGCCUUCUGAGCUGGGAUUUGCAUAGAGAUGGUCGUAAUGGGUGUCAAAGAACUCAGGGAAGUAGUUUUAAAAACAAAAUAGAUCACCAAAUUCGUUGGUCAAAUUCUAGCUAUACAUCUUCUUUCCCUUCCCAGAUCAGGUGACGGAACUCCUUCACUAGAGAAACAGUGUACUUCGCUUACAAGUAUGUUUAUGUCCAUACUAUAAUCUCAUUAUU